GAUGAAGAACGCAGCGAAAUGCGAUAAGUAGUGUGAAUUGCAGAAUUCAGUGAAUCAUCGAAUCUUUGAACGCACAUUGCGCCUUCUAGUAUUCUGGGAGGCAUGCCUGUUUGAGCGUCAUUAAACCUCUCUCAAGUAUGAUUACUUGGAUGUGAAGGAAGAGUACCUUAAACUUAAGGAGUGUUCUCCUUUGAAAUUGAUUAGCAGAUGGUAAUGUUAUUAAAUCCCUGAUGUUGUAAGAAAUAACAGUGGUUUUGUAGACUAUUAUCUAGCUUUAAAUUAUAAUUUUUAUUAUGGUUGACCUCAAAUCAGGUGAGGAUACCCGCUGAACUUAAGCAUACCAAUAAGCGGAGGA
This 355-nucleotide unclassified non-coding RNA is filed under the name soil metagenome. RNAcentral's name for it is "partial contains 5.8S ribosomal RNA, internal transcribed spacer 2, and large subunit ribosomal RNA". The stretch from base 1 to 120 matches the Rfam family "5.8S ribosomal RNA", at positions 35 to 154 of the family's 154-position model. The record is from RNAcentral.